CAAAAAAGUCAUUUUUGCUACUGUUUAUGUUUGAUUGAAGGAAAACCAGCUGCCUUGGAAGACAAAACUAAUCCAGAUGUGUUGCCAACGGAAAUUUAGGAAACAUUUGUAGUUUCUAACCAGGUCAAUCUGCCUGCCUACCCCCUAUUUAAAAGGUUUUUAAAAAGAGCUGGAAUGAAGCCAGAUGUCCGAGCUGAAGUUGUUUCUGCAUGGUGCACAAGAAUUUGAUGGUGUUUCACAAUUUAUUGAAGAAAUUUGAGCAAAGCAGAUUUAUGGAAGCUGUGUUAGUGAGUCAGUUCAAACUGAUGUACCUAACUGAAGAAUAUUCAAGUCGUGUUUUUCAGAAUUUAGAUUUUUCUAGAGAGAAUUCAAUAAUGUACACCUUGCAAGCAAAAGUUCAAGUGAUGGAUGUAAAUGAGAAUUAUGUUAAAAAUAAAUGCUUUAUCCCUAA
This is a long non-coding RNA of Dendroctonus ponderosae (mountain pine beetle), 451 nucleotides long. RefSeq lists it as uncharacterized. The record is from RefSeq and is a predicted model, not a curated record. Lineage: Eukaryota; Metazoa; Arthropoda; Insecta; Coleoptera; Curculionidae. The transcript is spliced from 2 exons.